CUUACCUGGCAGGGGAGAUACCAUGAUCAGAAAGAUGGUUUGCCCAGAGCGAGGCUCAGCCAUUGCACUUGGGCCGUGCUGACCUUUGCGAAUUCCCCAAAUGUGGGAAUCUCGACUGC
RNAcentral lists this small RNA (119 nucleotides) under Psalidodon paranae. RNAcentral's name for it is "Astyanax paranae partial U1 small nuclear RNA". It matches the Rfam family "U1 spliceosomal RNA", at positions 4 to 123 of the family's 166-position model. From Rfam's summary of the family: U1 is a small nuclear RNA (snRNA) component of the spliceosome (involved in pre-mRNA splicing). Its 5' end forms complementary base pairs with the 5' splice junction, thus defining the 5' donor site of an intron. There are significant differences in sequence and secondary structure between metazoan and yeast U1 snRNAs, the latter being much longer (568 nucleotides as compared to 164 nucleotides in human). The record is from RNAcentral. Lineage: Eukaryota; Metazoa; Chordata; Actinopteri; Characiformes; Acestrorhamphidae.